Molecule: ribosomal RNA, 242 nt
Filed under: uncultured bacterium
Lineage: Bacteria
Description: partial 16S ribosomal RNA
Rfam family: Bacterial small subunit ribosomal RNA
Source: RNAcentral
AGUGAACGCUGGCGGCAGGCCUAACACAUGCAAGUCGAGCGGCAGCGGGUUCCCGCGAGGGGAUGCCGGCGAGCGGCGGACGGGUGAGGAACACAUCGGAAUCUGCCUGGUUGUGGGGGAUAACGUAGGGAAACGUUACGCUAAUACCGCAUGCGACCCUGAGUCGACGGACUGGGGGUGGAAAGUGAGGGACCUUCGGCCGUCACGCGACCAGAUGAGCCGAUGUCGGAUUAGCUAGUUGG